RNAcentral lists this ribosomal RNA (526 nucleotides) under uncultured eukaryote. RNAcentral's name for it is "SSU rRNA". It matches the Rfam family "Eukaryotic small subunit ribosomal RNA", at positions 75 to 604 of the family's 1831-position model. The record is from RNAcentral.
UAUACAGCGAAACUGCGAAUGGCUCAUUAUAUAAGUUAUCGUUUAUUUGAUAGUGCCUUACUACUUGGAUAACCGUGGUAAUUCUAGAGCUAAUACAUGCUAAAAACCCCGACUUCGGAAGGGGUGUAUUUAUUAGAUACAAAACCAAUGCCCUUCGGGGCUCUUUGGUGAUUCAUGAUAACUAUACGAAUCGCACGGCCUUGCGCCGGCGAUGGUUCAUUCAAAUUUCUUCCCUAUCAACUUUCGAUGUUUGGGUAUUGGCCAAACAUGGUUGCAACGGGUAACGGAGGGUUAGGGCUCGACCCCGGAGAAGGAGCCUGAGAAACGGCUACUACAUCCAAGGAAGGCAGCAGGCGCGCAAAUUACCCAAUCCCGACUCGGGGAGGUAGUGACAAUAAAUACUGAUACAGGGCCCUUUCGGGCCUUGUAAUUGGAAUGAGUACAAUUUAAAUCCCUUAACGAGGAACGAUUGGAGGGCAAGUCUGGUGCCAGCAGCCGCGGUAAUUCCAGCUCCAAUAGCGUAUAU